This 439-nucleotide ribosomal RNA is filed under the name uncultured bacterium. RNAcentral describes it as "partial 16S ribosomal RNA". It matches the Rfam family "Bacterial small subunit ribosomal RNA", at positions 339 to 795 of the family's 1533-position model. The record is from RNAcentral.
CUACGGGUCGCUCCAGUGGGGAAUAUUGCACAAUGGAGGAAACUCUGAUGCAGCAACGCCGCGUGGAGGAUGACACUUUUCGGAGCGUAAACUCCUUUUAUAUAGGAAGAAGAUGACGGUACUAUAUGAAUAAGCGCCGGCUAACUCCGUGCCAGCAGCCGCGGUAAUACGGAGGGCGCAAGCGCUACUCGGAAUCACUGGGCGUAAAGAGCGUGUAGGCGGAUUAAAAAGUCAGAAGUGAAAUCCUAUAGCUUAACUAUAGAACUGCUUCUGAAACUCUUAAUCUAGAAUAUGGGAGAGGUAGAUGGAAUUUCUGGUGUAGGGGUAAGAUCCGUAGAGAUCAGAAUGAAUACCGAUUGCGAAGGCGAUCUACUAGAACAUUAUUGACGCUGAGACGCGAAAGCGUGGGGAGCAAACAGGAUUAGAUACCCUGGUAGUC